This 423-nucleotide long non-coding RNA is filed under the name Vigna radiata. RNAcentral describes it as "long non-coding RNA (VRAD_LNC018310)". Lineage: Eukaryota; Viridiplantae; Streptophyta; Magnoliopsida; Fabales; Fabaceae. The record is from RNAcentral.
GACGUCGUCGAAUUAAAAAAAAGAAGGCAUCAAAAAGCUGGUGAUUCAGAAGGAAGAGUAUGUUGUUGAACAAAGGGCGAGCUACAGAGUUUAAAGAGAGGCCUAAGAUCAUGGACGAUUAACGAAAGAUUGCCUUUGGCCAGAUUGAUCACAAAGAGGGUUAAUACAGUCAAGUUGCCAUCCAAGUUAAUUUUUCCUGACCCAAAUGGUGAAAAGUAAUUUUACAAUGCUGAACAACGUGUGAAAGCAACAGUGGCCAAAUUGAAGAAAGAAUAUUGGCAUCGAGCUAAAAAGGAGACAUCAAGAAUUGGCGAUUCAAAUGAGGAACAUGUUGUUGAACAAGGGCGAAUUGAAAGGGAAGCCUCUCACAACUACCUUCCCUUACCAAUAGAAUCAGUGAAGACGUCCCUAAGUCAUUAGCCG